This 429-nucleotide ribosomal RNA is filed under the name Acidobacteriota bacterium. RNAcentral describes it as "Acidobacteria bacterium partial 16S ribosomal RNA". It matches the Rfam family "Bacterial small subunit ribosomal RNA", at positions 355 to 776 of the family's 1533-position model. The record is from RNAcentral. Lineage: Bacteria; Pseudomonadati; Acidobacteriota.
UGGGGAAUUUUGGACAAUGGGCGAAAGCCUGAUCCAGCAAUGCCGCGUGUGUGAAGAAGGCCUUCGGGUUGUAAAGCUCUUUUGUCCGGAAAGAAAUGGCUCUGGUUAAUACCUGGGGUCGAUGACGGUACCGGAAGAAUAAGGACCGGCUAACUACGUGCCAGCAGCCGCGGUAAUACGUAGGGUCCAAGCGUUAAUCGGAAUUACUGGGCGUAAAGCGUGCGCAGGCGGUUGUGCAAGACCGAUGUGAAAUCCCCGAGCUUAACUUGGGAAUUGCAUUGGUGACUGCACGGCUAGAGUGUGUCAGAGGGGGGUAGAAUUCCACGUGUAGCAGUGAAAUGCGUAGAGAUGUGGAGGAAUACCGAUGGCGAAGGCAGCCCCCUGGGAUAACACUGACGCUCAUGCACGAAAGCGUGGGGAGCAAACAGG